UACGUAGGGUGCAAGCGUUAAUCGGAAUUACUGGGCGUAAAGCGUGCGUAGGUGGUUGAUUAAGUUAUCUGUGAAAUCCCUGGGCUUAACCUGGGCAGGUCAGAUGAUACUGGUUGACUCGAGUAUGGGAGAGGGUAGUGGAAUUUCCGGUGUAGCGGUGAAAUGCGUAGAGAUCGGAAGGAACACCAGUGGCGAAGGCGGCUACCUGGCCUAAUACUGACACUGAGGCACGAAAGCGUGGGGAGCAAACAGGG
This 254-nucleotide ribosomal RNA is filed under the name uncultured bacterium. Its description in RNAcentral is "partial 16S ribosomal RNA". It matches the Rfam family "Bacterial small subunit ribosomal RNA", at positions 524 to 777 of the family's 1533-position model. The record is from RNAcentral.